ACCGCCGGCCUCCUCUUCAUCCUCCCGCGUCCUCCCGGGCUCGCGCCGCUGUCACUGGAGCCCGCAUCCUCCGCCUCCCGCCGCCGCCGCGACCCCGCACCGGGAACCAAGCCGGCGCGGAAAACCGCAAGCUUGACUCCACGCCCACCUGACUGGACUCAGAAAACCGAAGAAGUUAGUGAGGGUACAGCAAUAAAUAGGGUAUACGGGAGAAUUGGCCUGAGAUUUCUCUCAGAGGACCAGCCAUGGAGCAAGGCCAGGAUGAACAGGAGGAGCAGAAUUUGAAACAGUAGCAUGCCGGUCCUGCGCCCCGUGAAGGAUGACUCGCCAGAAAGCAAAGGCGCAGCCCUACCUCCGCGAGCUUGGCGCGUGGCCCAGGAGGCUCCGCGAGCCCUUGUACGUAAGGAUCGUGGCGCCCACGCUUGAGAGCAGAGCUCAGUGCAAACUUCCAACAGUUCUUCCAGUUUCCAGGGAAACAAGAUUUGGAGCUGCUGCGUGUUGCAGAGCUGCCUCUCUGCUCCCCACAUGGGACCCCUGUGGCUGGCUGGUCUUGGGGAGGAAGGAAUUAAAGCCACCUCAUCCAUGAAGGGUGAGGUCCGAUCUUAAGAUGGAAGAAUUGAGCGGGGCUGUGGGGGUAUGUUCUACCCUCAGAGCACUCGGUAGAAGUGCUGUUUUGGGUUGCUUCUCCUCUAGAUGGGCACUGCCACCCCCUUACAAUCUUUCCAUUUCUAUACUCACCACAGGGCCCAUGAACGCGGUGUUUCCCCUUUUAGGGUAUAUUCACACUCCAUAAUGAUUCUCACCUGAUAUUGCCUCUUCAUUUCUCAAAUUGUAUUAUCAUAUUUCUUAAUUGCCUCAGUUUUGUCGGAAGGAAGCUUGUCUGACACGAUGCAUCCAGGCACUUUCUUUUACUCAUUUCUCAGGACAACCUUCGAGGUAGGACCUCUCUUAUCCCCAGUAGGACUUUCCAUAAGUAAAUCAGUGACUGGAAUUGGAACAGAAACCCAGGCUCUGUGUGCAGGCUAUGCUUCCCCAGCUGCCUGCCUUCCUGAUUCCAACCCCUGCACCCCUGCAGAGGGUCCCCACGGUGCAGGAUUUCCCGGUAUAUAAAUAAGUCCUACCUAUCAGGUGGGACUUGAAAUGGCCGGGUAAGGGCAGUCCCAACUAAUUUCUGGGGAUAGAUGAGUUUGUACAUGUGAAUGUGAUGCAACAAACGUCUAUCUAGUUCUUUGGGGCGCAUGGGGUCAGGAGCCUGCAAACAGGGGAGCUGUCUCUUCCGUGCUGGGGAUAAGGGAAGGAGCUGAGAGGGCUUACUUUCUUGGGCAGUAACAGGGAGAGGGCAACUCACUGAGGAGGAUCUUUAAGCUAAACCAAUUCAGUUUUCUUCUGAGGGCAGAGAUUUCAGGAGAGCAUCCUGGUGUGUAAUGAGAAGGAGCUCUGCUGCUUGGAAUCUAGGGGAGCUAGAGGAGCUCCCUCCCUAGACAGUGUAAAAUCACAGGUACUGGGAACCACCCUGCAGCUUCCACCCUGCAGCUUCCGCUCAGCAUUCCUUCUAAAAGGACAACGAGUCGGCAGAAAGUGGGAGGGGCAAUCUGUGUCCAGUGACAAUGAAACCAGGGAUGGCAUUGAAACUAACCCAUGUAGAAUUUUAGAGCAGAUUGAAUUUCUUUAUUUCAGGAUUCUUUCACCAAGGACGAGCUCACCAUGCUCUGUUGUGAGCCCUCCUCAACUUCCACUUGCAGAGCCAAGGAGGGGAUCAAGGGUAGCUGCAGUCUAUCUGCAGUCCAGUGACCUGGAGGGGUCAGAGGCAGGAAGGAGAGAGAGCAACUCCAGAAAGAACCAUACCAGCAAGGAAUAACUUUGCUACUUUUCCAGAAAAUCACAUCAUCAGCAACUGACCAAGUUCCUACAGAGCCUGGGCAGGUCUGGCAGCCUUCUGGGGGCAGAUCUGACUCUCCCACACUAAAAACAAGGAAGAGGCUCUACACCCAGAAAAGACAUGGCAGAAAUGCAACAGCAUAAUCCCAGCACUUGGGAGGCAGAGGCAGGGGAAUUUCUGAGUUCGAGGCCAGCCUGGUCUACAGAGAGCCAUCACCUGUGCAGUAAUAGUAUGCACAUUGUACAUCUCUAAUGAAAGGCAUUUCAACAUGAUUCCCUCUUGUCCUCCCUGGAACUCAUCAACUUAUGUGAAAACAGCACACAACAUCCGAAUCAGAGCAGCACCCUCUUGUCAGCGAUGGGAGCAAGCAUUCUGCUGAGUCAGAUGUAAUCAGGGUUUAUUCAUGUCCUAAUUUUGCAAUACUGUUGUCAGUGAGAGUUAGAAAAACAGUGGAUUUUGCAAGAAAUAGCAAGUCACAUUGAAGUUAUAAAAUAAAAAGCAGAUAAGUGCUCUCGUUUAAAAUGUUAUUUCCAAACUUGUAUAAGAAAAUGCUAAUGAAAUAUUUUCAAUUUUCAAAAUUGCAUUUAUUUGCUCAUUGUGCUGUGCAUUCGCGUGUGGGAAUGCAAGUGUAGUGGGGAAGUUGUAGAGGUCAGAGGACAACUGAGAACACUUGAUUUUCUCCUUCCACCUUGUGGGUCCAAGGGACCAAAUUAGGUCAUCGGUGCCUUUACCUGCUGAGCCAUUUCACUGGCUCAUUAAAUUGCUAAUAAAAAAUUUAUGUUAGCUCAAGUAAUGGCAUGGAUUUAAUAAGGUUAUAGAACCAUUUUUCACAUUUUGAUCCACCAAAACAAUACUUUCUCACAUUAUUUUACAUGUGAAACAAGUGAAAACAAAU
Molecule: non-coding RNA, 2774 nt
Organism: Mus caroli (Ryukyu mouse)
Lineage: Eukaryota; Metazoa; Chordata; Mammalia; Rodentia; Muridae
Source: RefSeq, a predicted model, not a curated record